GCGCAUGUGACGGAAUUGGUAUACGUGCUAGGUUGAGGGCCUAGUGGGGUUUAACUCCAUGGAAGUUCGAGUCUUCUCAUGCGCA
RNAcentral lists this transfer RNA (85 nucleotides) under Flavobacteriaceae bacterium. Its description in RNAcentral is "tRNA-Leu". It matches the Rfam family "tRNA". From Rfam's summary of the family: Transfer RNA (tRNA) molecules are approximately 80 nucleotides in length. Lineage: Bacteria; Pseudomonadati; Bacteroidota; Flavobacteriia; Flavobacteriales; Flavobacteriaceae. The record is from RNAcentral.